GUCAGGAUGGCCGAGCGGUCCAAGGCACCGCGUUAAGGUCGCAGUCUCCCCUGGAGGCGUGUGUUCAAAUCCCACUUCUGACA
Non-coding RNA from Xiphophorus maculatus (southern platyfish), 83 nucleotides. NCBI's taxonomy places the organism in Eukaryota, Metazoa, Chordata, Actinopteri, Cyprinodontiformes, Poeciliidae. The record is from Rfam.